Molecule: ribosomal RNA, 1006 nt
Filed under: bacterium RK65_tank
Lineage: Bacteria
Description: bacterial SSU rRNA
Rfam family: Bacterial small subunit ribosomal RNA
Source: RNAcentral
CGGGAGGCAGCAGUGGGGAAUAUUGCACAAUGGGCGCAAGCCUGAUGCAGCGACGCCGCGUGAGGGAUGACGGCCUUCGGGUUGUAAACCUCUUUCAGUAGGGAAGAAGCCGCAAGGUGACGGUACCUGCAGAAGAAGCGCCGGCUAACUACGUGCCAGCAGCCGCGGUAAUACGUAGGGCGCAAGCGUUAUCCGGAAUUAUUGGGCGUAAAGAGCUCGUAGGCGGUUUGUCGCGUCUGCCGUGAAAGUCCGGGGCUCAACUCCGGAUCUGCGGUGGGUACGGGCAGACUAGAGUGAUGUAGGGGAGACUGGAAUUCCUGGUGUAGCGGUGAAAUGCGCAGAUAUCAGGAGGAACACCGAUGGCGAAGGCAGGUCUCUGGGCAUUAACUGACGCUGAGGAGCGAAAGCAUGGGGAGCGAACAGGAUUAGAUACCCUGGUAGUCCAUGCCGUAAACGUUGGGCACUAGGUGUGGGGGACAUUCCACGUUUUCCGCGCCGUAGCUAACGCAUUAAGUGCCCCGCCUGGGGAGUACGGCCGCAAGGCUAAAACUCAAAGGAAUUGACGGGGGCCCGCACAAGCGGCGGAGCAUGCGGAUUAAUUCGAUGCAACGCGAAGAACCUUACCAAGGCUUGACAUGAACCAGACCGGGCCGGAAACAGUCCUUCCCCUUUGGGGUUGGUUUACAGGUGGUGCAUGGUUGUCGUCAGCUCGUGUCGUGAGAUGUUGGGUUAAGUCCCGCAACGAGCGCAACCCUCGUUCCAUGUUGCCAGCGGGUAGUGCCGGGGACUCAUGGGAGACUGCCGGGGUCAACUCGGAGGAAGGUGGGGACGACGUCAAAUCAUCAUGCCCCUUAUGUCUUGGGCUUCACGCAUGCUACAAUGGCCGGUACAAAGGGUUGCGAUACUGUGAGGUGGAGCUAAUCCCAAAAAGCCGGUCUCAGUUCGGAUUGGGGUCUGCAACUCGACCCCAUGAAGUCGGAGUCGCUAGUAAUCGCAGAUCAGCAAC